RNA transcript from Oxyura jamaicensis (ruddy duck), 3228 nucleotides. It is a transcript of the gene named IQ motif containing K, with no coding region annotated. The transcript is spliced from 11 exons. NCBI's taxonomy places the organism in Eukaryota, Metazoa, Chordata, Aves, Anseriformes, Anatidae. The record is from RefSeq and is a predicted model, not a curated record.
GGUUGCCGUGGCGACACAGCGCGGCAUGGCGGCGGGCGGGCGGCCGCUAGGCCUGUGGCAGCAGCUGUGCGCAGAGUAUGAAGCAGAACAGCCUCCGUUUCCAGAUAUUCCUGAAUCAAAACAACAAUCUGUGUCUUUGGAAGCAGGAAUGCUGCAGCCAUUACGGAUGGAACAAUUUUACUCAGCCCCUGCAGCUGAUACUGUUGUCCAACAGUUGCUUCCCAGUCCCGAGGCAGCCCCCCUUCCAGAACCACCUGAUCCCAAAAUGUGUUCUCCUCGAGAAUACUUAGAGUGUUACAUCUUUCCAGUGCUCUUACCUGGACUGGCUGAACUUCUACAUCGGGCACAGAAGGAAAAGUGUUUUGAGAGAAAAAGGACCAAAUUUAUUGCCUGUGAUUUCCUAACUGAGUGGUUAUACAAUCCUAGGCAACCAAUGCCUCUGUCUCUCCACCUAUCAGAAGAAGAAGCAAGCAUAAUAAUUCAGUCAUUCUGGAGAGGUUAUCGGGUCCGCUGUGAUACGGAAGUGCAAGAGCUACGUCAGUGGCAAAAGCAGUUGAGAGACGAAGAAAACAUUUCUCAAAGAGUGGAAGAAUUCUGGACUAAGCAGGAAGCCAAAGCUUCCUUACAAGGAGGAGACCUUUAAAGUUCCUGCUUAAGCACUUGGAGGGAAAAUGACCCGACACUGUCACAAACAAGAGCUCUCUUUUCCUACACGUCUGGUCUACAUCCAGAGGAAACAUCAAAACCAGAGGAAAACAACGAUAGAUAAAGAUGAAAACAAAGCCUCAUGACGGAGAGGUUCCCUUCACCUGAUGGCUCUGAUGCAGUGAGACAACACUCAGCACCCACGUCCCCGGCUGGUUCAGGCUUGUCCAUCUUCUGAGAGUCACUGUGAGCUCCUGCUGCCUGGCCCCGUGCUGACCUAGACUUGCUCUCCUGAUGCCCCUAUUUGGGAAGUACACCAGUGGAAAUAUGGCUUGCCAUAGCUCUUGUGUCUUCUUCAUGGAACGACAGCUUGGGUGGCUCAAAAACUGGUGGCAGGGUCUGUGAGCAGAGGAUGAGCUGCUGAGGAAUUUCUCAAGCUGAAACCAUACAAAUAAAGAUUGGGUCUGUUCUUCCUUUGUGGGUCGUUGGUUCGCUGAGAACAGAACGGGCGCCUGGUCUGAUUCCCUGCAUUAAUGUGCCUUGUUCCACUCUCAAUCUGCACUGGAACUGUUGCAGCAUCUCUCUUAGGCUGUUGUUACUGUUGACCUUCUGGCUCUGGAUGCUGAAGGGUUUCUUGGUAAGCCAGUCACUUGUUCAUUUUGAUUUGCUUAAAGUUUCUGCCUUCAUCUUGCUUUGCGCAGGCCAGAUGCUGGUGUGUAGCAUGGUGGCAGACUUUUCUUCCUGAGCUCUGUGGAAAGCUCUGCAAGUAGGAGUAAUGUAACUGUGAGUGUGGCUGGAGAGCUGGGCACAGUGACACAGUAGUUCCCCAAACCAAUAAUAGCUAGGCAGCUGCUGCAAAGGUCUAACAAAUCAGAUGAGUCUUUUUUGCCUUCCUUCCCCCCUCAGGCCUCUUUACAGUAGUUCACAAUUCAUAGUGAAGAUUAGAGUCUUUCACCUUGUGCCUCGUGAGGACAUUGUUGCUGGGAUGGAUGGUACCCUGUAUGCUUCAGCAUGUGGCUGCUUUUACUGUACGAAAGACCCCGAGAACAGGGAGGUAUUCCAGUAAAUGUUAAGUUUUCCCAGAGAAAUGGAAACUAGCCAAUGAGAUGAAACAUCUUUCCUACCAGCACAGGGAGCGGAACGGAGCAAAAAAGGGUGGCAGGGAGAAACAGGAAAGAAAAAGCAAUUAAAAUGCAGCCCUUUCCUAAGGCCAUCAACUAAUGUAAUAUUUGUGUGAAGCAGUUAAUGGGGCUGAAGUCUGGGCCCUUACUGUGCUGGAGGCAGGCAGAGGGUGAUGAGGGCAGGCAGGGAACGUACAGAGCAGACCCCAGCAUCCCCCAACAGCAGCGCUGUUGGUGACAGGUGUGUAACCAUGAAAGUGGCUGGGACCAGAAGUGCCUCUGACUUCUGUUCCCCCACUGCUGUGUGGUGUAAUCCUGGUUGCAGGGCAAGCCUUUAAUCAGAGGUAGCAGCUUGUAUCCUGUUCCCAGUCCUGCAGCGUCACCCAAGUCUCAGUUCUUGACUUUCACCUCUCUCGGGUGCAAACAUGGCAAGAGGAAUCAAAUUUACAGCCACAGUCCUACUGCCAAGGACCUUCUGCCUUGGGUUUUGUUCCUUCCAAUUUGUUCUCCUCGCAGCCUUAGCUACUUGCUGCUGCCAGUAAAAUGCGUGCUGUCAGUGUCUGACCGUGCCAGAUGCAGCAUUUGAUUUCCAAAAUGAUUUUAAAAGCUUAAUUUGUUUUAUUCUCCAUUAAAGAAAACUUUCCUCUGUAAGGAGGACAUAAAUUAGGAUUUGGGGAUGAAGAGGUCAUACACAGGAAGGCAGAAGCUCUGACUUUCCCGGUAACCUCAGACAGGGACUAGCCCUGUGCCCUAUUGCUGUUGUGCUGUUACAGGACCAGCAGCAAGUCUCACCCAGGUCACCUCCUCUUGCCUAGACAUGGGAUCAGUGUUUUCUCUCAAGCUAGCCUUCCUUGAUCAUGGGUAUUCCCACCUCUGAGCUUUGGGUUUGAGAUGAGCCUGGAGGACUCAGCUGCACUCCUUUAAGGAGAGCUUUCUUGCUGUGCUCACCUCUCUGUGCCAGGUCCUUUGAAUGGGUUUACAGAUGGGAUGGACAGCGUUGCCUUGGACCUGCCAUCCAAAAAGCUUUCCUGGGCUCUGAGAUAGGAUGACUCACACAUUUAGACUUCUGGAGCCUGACAGAGCUGAAGAGCUAGCAUAGUGCACUGGUUGGGAAAUGUCGCAUGAAGCUGGAGACCCAAGCACUCGAGGAACAUAAGGACAGAUGCUUCCUAGAUUUUUCUUCCAAGCAAUUUGCAAGCAUGUGACUGUUUCAUGUUCUGUGAGAAGGACGUGGGACACGUAAGUAAACACGUGAAGCAACCACUGGAACUCUAGCUCUCUCCUUAAGGGUUUCCCACCUCCUCUAUUUCUAUCAGACAAAACUCUUCCAUCGAAGUGGUCCUGUCCUAUUUGAAGAAAUUUAGCCCAUCCGUUUCAUCUCACUAAAACAGACUUGCAAAUUGGGAGCAUUUGGCUGAAUUAGCUUCCUGAGUAGAAUCACAGGGUUGCUUUUCAUUGGAAA